RNAcentral lists this ribosomal RNA (1343 nucleotides) under uncultured bacterium. Its description in RNAcentral is "16S ribosomal RNA". It matches the Rfam family "Bacterial small subunit ribosomal RNA", at positions 28 to 1378 of the family's 1533-position model. The record is from RNAcentral.
GACGAACGCUGGCGGCGUGCUUAACACAUGCAAGUCGAACGGAAAGGCCCUGCUUUUGUGGGGUGCUCGAGUGGCGAACGGGUGAGUAACACGUGAGUAACCUGCCCUUGACUUUGGGAUAACUUCAGGAAACUGGGGCUAAUACCGGAUAGGAGCUCCUGCUGCAUGGUGGGGGUUGGAAAGUUUCGGCGGUUGGGGAUGGACUCGCGGCUUAUCAGCUUGUUGGUGGGGUAGUGGCUUACCAAGGCUUUGACGGGUAGCCGGCCUGAGAGGGUGACCGGCCACAUUGGGACUGAGAUACGGCCCAGACUCCUACGGGAGGCAGCAGUGGGGAAUAUUGCACAAUGGGCGGAAGCCUGAUGCAGCAACGCCGCGUGCGGGAUGACGGCCUUCGGGUUGUAAACCGCUUUCGCCUGUGACGAAGCGUGAGUGACGGUAAUGGGUAAAGAAGCACCGGCUAACUACGUGCCAGCAGCCGCGGUGAUACGUAGGGUGCGAGCGUUGUCCGGAUUUAUUGGGCGUAAAGGGCUCGUAGGUGGUUGAUCGCGUCGGAAGUGUAAUCUUGGGGCUUAACCCUGAGCGUGCUUUCGAUACGGGUUGACUUGAGGAAGGUAGGGGAGAAUGGAAUUCCUGGUGGAGCGGUGGAAUGCGCAGAUAUCAGGAGGAACACCAGUGGCGAAGGCGGUUCUCUGGGCCUUUCCUGACGCUGAGGAGCGAAAGCGUGGGGAGCGAACAGGCUUAGAUACCCUGGUAGUCCACGCUGUAAACGGUGGGUACUAGGUGUGGGGUCCAUUCCACGGGUUCCGUGCCGUAGCUAACGCUUUAAGUACCCCGCCUGGGGAGUACGGCCGCAAGGCUAAAACUCAAAGGAAUUGACGGGGCCCCGCACAAGCGGCGGAGCAUGCGGAUUAAUUCGAUGCAACGCGUAGAACCUUACCUGGGUUUGACAUGGAUCGGGAGCGCUCAGAGAUGGGUGUGCCUCUUUUGGGGUCGGUUCACAGGUGGUGCAUGGCUGUCGUCAGCUCGUGUCGUGAGAUGUUGGGUUAAGUCCCGCAACGAGCGCAACCCUUGUUCACUGUUGCCAGCACGUUAUGGUGGGGACUCAGUGGAGACCGCCGGGGUCAACUCGGAGGAAGGUGGGGAUGACGUCAAGUCAUCAUGCCCCUUAUGUCCAGGGCUUCACGCAUGCUACAAUGGCUGGUACAGAGAGUGGCGAGCCUGUGAGGGUGAGCGAAUCUCGGAAAGCCGGUCUCAGUUCGGAUUGGGGUCUGCAACUCGACCUCAUGAAGUCGGAGUCGCCAGUAAUCGCAGAUCAGCAACGCUGCGGUGAAUACGUUCCCGGG